This 446-nucleotide ribosomal RNA is filed under the name uncultured bacterium. Its description in RNAcentral is "partial 16S ribosomal RNA". It matches the Rfam family "Bacterial small subunit ribosomal RNA", at positions 330 to 792 of the family's 1533-position model. The record is from RNAcentral.
GCCAGACUCCUACGGGAGGCAGCAGUGGGGAAUAUUGCACAAUGGGGGAAACCCUGAUGCAGCAACGCCGCGUGAGUGGAGAAGUAUUUCGGUAUGUAAAGCUCUCUCAGCAGGGAAGAAGAAAGACGGUACCUGACUAAGAAGCCCCGGCUAACUACGUGCCAGCAGCCGCGGUAAUACGUAGGGGGCAAGCGUUAUCCGGAUUUACUGGGUGUAAAGGGGGCGCAGACGGCGAUGCAAGCCAGGAGUGAAAGCCCGGGGCCCAACCCCGGGACUGCUCUUGGAACUGCGUGGCUGGAGUGCAGGAGGGGCAGGCGGAAUUCCUGGUGUAGCGGUGAAAUGCGUAGAUAUCAGGAGGAACACCGGUGGCGAAGGCGGCCUGCUGGACUGCAACUGACGUUGAGGCCCGAAAGCGUGGGGAGCAAACAGGAUUAGAUACCCUAGUA